This 460-nucleotide ribosomal RNA is filed under the name uncultured bacterium. RNAcentral's name for it is "partial 16S ribosomal RNA". It matches the Rfam family "Bacterial small subunit ribosomal RNA", at positions 338 to 795 of the family's 1533-position model. The record is from RNAcentral.
CCUACGUGAGGCAGCAGUGAGGAAUAUUGGUCAAUGGACGAGAGUCUGACCCAGCCAAGUCGCGUGAAGGAUGACUGCCCUAUGGGUUGUAAACUUCUUUUAUAUGGGAAUAAAAUGUUCCACGUGUGGGAUUUUGUAUGUACCAUAUGAAUAAGGAUCGGCUAACUCCGUGCCAGCAGCAGCGGUAAUACGGAGGAUCCGAGAGUUAUACGGCUUUAUUGGGUUUAAAGGGAGCGUAGGUGGAUUGUUCAGUCAGUUGUGAAAGUUUGCGGCUCAACCGUAAAAUUGCAGUUGAAACUGGCAGUCUUGAGUACAGUAGAGGUGGGCGGAAUUCGUGGUGUAGCGGGGAAAUGCUUAGAUAUCACGAAGAACACCGAUGGCGAAGGCAGCUCACUGGACUGCAACUGACACUGAGGCUCGAAAGUGUGGGUAUCAAACAGGAUUAGAUACCCUGGUAGUC